Molecule: ribosomal RNA, 253 nt
Filed under: uncultured bacterium
Lineage: Bacteria
Description: partial 16S ribosomal RNA
Rfam family: Bacterial small subunit ribosomal RNA
Source: RNAcentral
UACGUAGGGCGCAAGCGUUGUCCGGAUUUAUUGGGCGUAUAGAGCUCGUAGGCGGUCUGUCGCGUCUGCUGUGAAAACUCAGGGCUUAACCCUGAGCUUGCAGUGGGUACGGGCAGACUAGAGUGCGGUAGGGGAGACUGGAAUUCCUGGUGUAGCGGUGAAAUGCGCAGAUAUCAGGAGGAACACCGGUGGCGAAGGCGGGUCUCUGGGCCGUAACUGACGCUGAGGAGCGAAAGCAUGGGGAGCGAACAGG